Long non-coding RNA from Oncorhynchus tshawytscha (Chinook salmon), 1208 nucleotides. Lineage: Eukaryota; Metazoa; Chordata; Actinopteri; Salmoniformes; Salmonidae. The record is from Ensembl.
AUGCAGAAAUAACGCGCAUUACAGUUGGCUACAUGAUUUUGUUUAUCUGAUUUAAAAAAUAUUUUUUAAAUCCCGUCAUUUGGUGGUAUUUUAAGUAGACAAUCUAUUUCAGUAUGUAAGCAGAGGCACUUUGAGGAGAACCAGCUAAAACGCGUCAGUUAAAUUCGUGCGGCAAACCUCGGUGUGGUCAGCAGCGACGGAAGAUGUAACUUUAUGUUUCAAAUUGGGGUUUAUACGGAUACAUUUCGGGUCUAGACGCGUUAUCCAUCGCAGCGCUUCAAGUUCGGAAAAUAUUACCAAGAAACAGAAGUACAUUUAUUUUGACUACUAACGUUAAUAUCGCUAUGUUCUCUCUCACUUCAAAUAUAUGUGUUUGUGUAAUCCGCCUGCGGUUGUGUAGUUUUUUUUUUAUCGUACCAGGACGAUGCGCACAACCCAUGAAGAUUUAAAAUAAUUGAGGACUUUAUAAAGAUGACCACAGAACGUGUAUGUGUUUCCAUUGGAGUGCUGCUGUUUGCCUUUUUGUCUUUCUCCAUUGUUCAAGCUCGACGUGUAAAAACAGCGAAGGUCACACCACCAACCGGCCGAGUAUGAACCCAGCGGAGGGCAGUGGAGCUGGUUUCAACGUGGGCGGUCUGAAGUCUGUCCUGCAGAACGCCGUGUCCCCAGCCUUCGGCGCCACCAUCAUCAUCAUCAUCACUGUUAUCGUGUCAGGGAGCGCCUACCUCUGUUUCCUCAAGUACAUCUGUGCAGGCUGCUGCAAACCCACACAGGUGGCCCCGGUCACACAACUAGACCCAAACAAGAGUGAGGAGCAGGUGUAGCGGAGUCUGUCAAGUUUCAAGUUUUUAUUGUCACGUGUACUAGUACAAUGAAAUUCCUUUCUUGCUUGUUCUUUUCCAACAAUGCAGUAAUCAAUAUCAGUAAUACUAUAAAAUGAAUUUUAAAAAGUUAAGUGGAACAAAAUCACAAAAUAAGAACACAAGAAAGUAAGUAAGCUAUAUACAGGGUCAGUUCCAGAGUUAGUGCCAAUACUAUUGACAAUGUGUAGGGCAGUGGCUACGCAUCAUUCAGGGCAGAGACCCAACUGUUUGGAGGCACCCCAUUUUUUUGCCUGUUUUGCAUGUUAUUUUGGCAUUAAUAAGUGUCACAUAUCAGUUUGCAAACAAUGUAAAACAUAAAUAAUCAUUGAGUUAAUAAAGCCGCAU